Aegilops tauschii subsp. strangulata is the source of this 847-nucleotide long non-coding RNA. RefSeq lists it as uncharacterized. The record is from RefSeq and is a predicted model, not a curated record. NCBI's taxonomy places the organism in Eukaryota, Viridiplantae, Streptophyta, Magnoliopsida, Poales, Poaceae.
CCCACCCCAACCCCGCCCUCCCAAGACGACGAGCUAAAACAGUGACUAAAAGCACAGUGGCAGAAAAGAAAAAGCAGAAGAAUGAAUCACGAAGAUGGCACUGAUCCUUGGCUUUUUCAAAGGCUGGAAACGCCACCUUGGGAUGCAGCAGAGUACAAUCAACUCAUUUCUUCAGGGCCAUUGCUGCCACUACUAGAGCACUACGCGGGCAUCGCAGGUUCUUAUGACCAAACCACAAUCAGGGGGGCAGCAUGGCAAAUUUCGUUACAGGGCGCUAACGCUGACAAAUGUAGGGGCAACCAACUUCAGCUAGCUAAUGUGGCAAAUCAAGGACCUUCAUGCAGCACGUGGCAUCAGGCGGCAACCAUGUACCUGCCAUCAACGUCGUACAUAGGUUGUUACGGUGGAACCACAUCGGCAAACGUCUCAUGGCAAGCUUCACAGUUGCAGGAAAGCGCUAUUGCAGAUAGAGCACAUCAAAUUGGAAUGACAGACCACACAAGAUCGACACAUGCGGCACAACAAGGUAAAAAAAGUGAAAACAGAAAACAGUACUGCAUUUGCUUUUGUGGGGAAUAGCAUGUGAAGAAAAGUAGAUUUGUAACGGUGGUGGUGGAAAAAACAAACAAAAAAUGCUACCAAGUGGUCGUGUGCAAAGAGUCGUAUAUUGUCUUCGGGAUUUGCCAAUUGCUAUAAGAGUGUGUGCAACAUUCAUGAUUGUUCACAUUUGCGUAUUGGGCUCAAGCCUAGAGUACAAGUUUUGAUGCUAGAGUAUACUGGUUGCCAUGUGUUUGGCAACAGUAGUUGCCAUGUAUGUUGGACUAUAUCUGCCAUUGCUAUAUGCUGC